Molecule: ribosomal RNA, 1087 nt
Filed under: Pleosporaceae sp. LM24
Lineage: Eukaryota; Fungi; Ascomycota; Dothideomycetes; Pleosporales; Pleosporaceae
Description: bacterial SSU rRNA
Rfam family: Eukaryotic small subunit ribosomal RNA (bases 1-359)
Source: RNAcentral
UAGAGUUCUGGGCCGCACGCGCGCUACACUGACAGAGCCAACGAGUUCUUCACCUUGGCCGAAAGGUCUGGGUAAUCUUGUUAAACUCUGUCGUGCUGGGGAUAGAGCAUUGCAAUUAUUGCUCUUCAACGAGGAAUGCCUAGUAAGCGCGUGUCAUCAGCAUGCGUUGAUUACGUCCCUGACCUUUGUACACACCGCCCGUCGCUACUACCGAUUGAAUGGCUCAGUGAGGCGUUCGGACUGGCUCGGGGAGGUUGGCAACGACCACCCCAAGCCGGAAAGUUCGUCAAACUCGGUCAUUUAGAGGAAGUAAAAGUCGUAACAAGGUCUCCGUAGGUGAACCUGCGGAGGGAUCAUUACACAAAUGAAAAUAUGAAGGCCCUUCAAACCGGCUGGAUUAUUUUUCUUCACCCUUGUCUUUUGCGCACUUGUUGUUUCCUGGGCGGGUUCGCUCGCCACCAGGACCACACCAUAAACCUUUUUGUUAAUGCAAUCAGCGUCAGUAAAAAGUAAUAAUUAUUUUACAACUUUCAACAACGGAUCUCUUGGUUCUGGCAUCGAUGAAGAACGCAGCGAAAUGCGAUACGUAGUGUGAAUUGCAGAAUUCAGUGAAUCAUCGAAUCUUUGAACGCACAUUGCGCCCUUUGGUAUUCCAAAGGGCAUGCCUGUUCGAGCGUCAUUUGUACCCUCAAGCUUUGCUUGGUGUUGGGCGUUGUUUGUCUUUGGCCUUGCCCAAAGACUCCCUUAAAACAAUUGGCAGCCGGCCUACUGGUUUCCAGCGCAACACAUUUUUGCGCUUGCAAUCAGCAAAAGAGGGUGGGCCAUCCCUUCAAGACUACCUUUUAUACCUUUUGGACCUCCCGAAUCAAGGUAAGGGGAUACCCCCCCUUGAACUUUUAAGCCAUUAUUCCAAUUAAAACCGGGAGGGGAAAAAAAAAAAACCCCACCCGGGGGGAUUUGGCCCCUAAAUAAACCCGGCCAAAUUGGGAAAACCGGCCAAACAGCCUCCAAAAAUUUUGAAAAAACCUGGGGCUCCUUUUUUAAAAAUCCCCCAAAUUGGUAAAUUUUUCCAAAAAAGGGGGGCCUU